GAUGAACGCUGGCGGCGUGCCUAAUACAUGCAAGUCGAGCGAACGGACGAGAAGCUUGCUUCUCUGAUGUUAGCGGCGGACGGGUGAGUAACACGUGGAUAACCUACCUAUAAGACUGGGAUAACUUCGGGAAACCGUAGCUAAUACCGGAUAAUAUUUUGAACCGCAUGGUUCAAAAGUGAAAGACGGGCUUGCUGUCACUUAUAGAUGGAUCCGCGCUGCAUUAGCUAGUUGGUAAGGUAACGGCUUACCAAGGCAACGAUGCAGAGCCGACCUGAGAGGGUGAUCGGCCACACUGGAACUGAGACACGGUCCCGACUCCUACGGUGGGCAGCAGUCGGGACUCUUCCGCAAUGGGCGAAAGCCUGACGGAGCACCGCCGCGUGAGUGAUGAAGGUCUUCGGAUCGUAAAACUCUGUUAUUAGGGAAGAACAUAUGUGUAAUUAACUGUGCACAUCUUGACGGUACCUAAACAGAAAGCCACGGCUAACUACGUG
RNAcentral lists this ribosomal RNA (497 nucleotides) under uncultured bacterium. Its description in RNAcentral is "partial 16S ribosomal RNA". It matches the Rfam family "Bacterial small subunit ribosomal RNA", at positions 28 to 507 of the family's 1533-position model. The record is from RNAcentral.